This 22-nucleotide microRNA is filed under the name Citrus sinensis (sweet orange). RNAcentral describes it as "csi-miR172c-3p". Its record names the gene csi-miR172c-3p. Lineage: Eukaryota; Viridiplantae; Streptophyta; Magnoliopsida; Sapindales; Rutaceae. The record is from miRBase by way of RNAcentral.
UGGAAUCUUGAUGAUGCUGCAG